ACACCUCAACUCUCAUGGUUAGCCAUGAUGAGCUUGGACUUUGGGGGUCUUGCUGGCCUAUGGUCAGCUCCUCUCAAACAAAUCAGCUUGCCAGUGUUUGGUGGCAUCACAGGUGUGAUAACUAUCUACGCUUGUGGUUUUCCACCAGGUAACCUUCAGUGAUGGAGGUUCGCUGGAGCUCAUAAACGUCUCUCCUCUGCGAGGACGGCUUUUUGAAC
RNAcentral lists this unclassified non-coding RNA (218 nucleotides) under uncultured Thelephoraceae. RNAcentral's name for it is "sequence contains ITS2". The record is from RNAcentral. Lineage: Eukaryota; Fungi; Basidiomycota; Agaricomycetes; Thelephorales; Thelephoraceae.